RNAcentral lists this transfer RNA (73 nucleotides) under Myotis lucifugus (little brown bat). It matches the Rfam family "tRNA". Rfam says of the family: Transfer RNA (tRNA) molecules are approximately 80 nucleotides in length. Their secondary structure includes four short double-helical elements and three loops (D, anti-codon, and T loops). The record is from Rfam by way of RNAcentral. Lineage: Eukaryota; Metazoa; Chordata; Mammalia; Chiroptera; Vespertilionidae.
GCUAGUGUGGCUCAGUGGUAGAGCAUUGGCCCAUACAUCAAGGGGUCCCAGGUUCGAUUCCUGGUCAAGGGCA